RNAcentral lists this ribosomal RNA (403 nucleotides) under Reckertia sp. Its description in RNAcentral is "partial small subunit ribosomal RNA". It matches the Rfam family "Eukaryotic small subunit ribosomal RNA", at positions 582 to 975 of the family's 1831-position model. Lineage: Eukaryota; Cercozoa; Imbricatea; Thaumatomonadida; Thaumatomastigidae. The record is from RNAcentral.
AUUCCAGUUCCAGUAGCGUAUAUUAAAGUCGUUGCAGUUAAAAAGAUCGUAGUUAGAUUUCUGAGAGUAGCGUUGGCCCGCCCGGGUUACCGGUGUGAGUGCCUGUUCGCUCCUUUCAUCCUUCUAGAGAACGGUUCUCUCCUUCAUGGGCAGUGGGAUCGCAAUCUAGAUGUUUCGAUUCGAAAAGAUAUUAGAGUGUUUAAAGUAAGCUUGUGCUAUGAAUACAUUAGCGUGGAAUAAUAAUUUAGGCCUUUAGUCUGUUUUUUUGGUUUCUAGGACUGACGUACAUGUAAUGAUUGAUAGGGAUAAUUGGGGGUGCUAGUACUCAGCGGCCAGAGGUGAAAUUUUUGGAUUCGCUGGAGACUAACUGAUGCGAAAGAAUUCACCAAGGAUGUCUUCAUUA